Molecule: small RNA, 213 nt
Filed under: Histoplasma capsulatum
Lineage: Eukaryota; Fungi; Ascomycota; Eurotiomycetes; Onygenales; Ajellomycetaceae
Also listed under: 1 other name
Description: hypothetical RNA
Source: RNAcentral
AUUACAAUAUUCAAUUCAAUAAUGAAUUAGUAUUUGAAAAAGUUAAAUCUUUACUGCAGAUUUAAAAGUGGGAAUUUUGAGUAUUUUAAUCAAUCAAAAAGUCAGAAAUCUGUUCUGCAUCAAUAAUAUCAAUAAUAUUUAAAUCAUCAUUUUGUAAUACUAUAUAUUCAAUCAUUUCAGCCACACAAUGAAGCAACUUUUGACACUCUCAGA